Molecule: long non-coding RNA, 1150 nt
Organism: Cylas formicarius (sweet potato weevil)
Lineage: Eukaryota; Metazoa; Arthropoda; Insecta; Coleoptera; Brentidae
Exons: 3
Source: RefSeq, a predicted model, not a curated record
GUUAUUAACGACGAACGUGAAUUCUUUGAGCACGCGAUCUAUUUUCGUAGAUCAAUCGGAUAAUUUCCUCGUGCGUAGUGUAGGCACGGACUAAAAUAACCUCAAACGCAAAAAUAUCAAAGACUGCGAGUCCCUACAUCCGCCAUUAGACGUGAGUCGUCAUAAAAGUUAUCGCGCAUUGUUAGUUUGAUACGGCAUGCAAUUUAAAGACGACGAAAUUACGUACCUACGGCCCGAUACGUCUCCGGGUGAAUUUCCGUUUAAAAGCCGAUGUCGGACGAUAUCGAUGAUCCGGGGUAUAGGCGAAUAACGCGCGUGAAUCAACAGAAUCGGGAACGGGCGGUGAUCCACGCGAAAAUUAUGUGGCACCUCAUCCAGGCCUACUAGCGAAUACCGAGGCCAGAGCCGCGAACGUUGGCCGUCCACGCUAGAGAGGACGACUUUGUUUGUUCGCCACUGAACGGCACUCGUAUUAAAUAAAAGUAUCUGGUUUUCAAAGAUAAGUUCAUCUUUCUUUUCGUACUUUUCGAUGUCUCUUUUUAUAUAAACCUUGUGAGACAUAAUUUGAUGGUAAAGUUAGUAUAGUUCCAUACGUGAUCAUUGUAUUAACGUUUUUUCCUGCUCGUCAUCAUGUUUCAGGUAGAAGUAAAGAAAAAACACAAAAUGUACGCGGAUAAGACAAAUACAAAGCUCCCAGAAACCAAUAACACUAAAGCACGUGUCGAAUGCCAUAGAUUCCAUGAAUCAACAACAGUCUUCAGCUAAUAAUUGAAGCCGUGUGCGGACAAUUGCAGUCCCGAUACCCAAGAUACAACCUACAUCCGGAACCUACAUGAAAAGUGUUAUACUUAUUGAGAAAAGAUAUCAUCUUAAAUGGACCACCCUGCAUAGAAACGCCAUCUGUCAGGCCGAGAACGUAUCAGCCCCCUUUCGAAUAAUCUGCGGGUUCAACCAAAAUGACAUUUUUAUUUAUGAAUAUUGCGGUUUUUUCAUAUAUUAUUAAUACUUAGUAUGUGUAAUUGUCCUCUUUGGUUAUACUUUUCAUAUAAAUUUUGCAAAUAAAUAUGUCCAGUUUGUUUUCCUACAUAUUUCUGAACUUCCUCUUUGUGUAGUGAAUAAGAAUUUGUCUCGGCUUAAAACAACACUUUGA